RNAcentral lists this unclassified non-coding RNA (1059 nucleotides) under Hevea brasiliensis (rubber tree). The record is from RNAcentral. Lineage: Eukaryota; Viridiplantae; Streptophyta; Magnoliopsida; Malpighiales; Euphorbiaceae.
GUUCCAGAGGGGAUGAAUGCCACAAAUUGCGCCCACUCAAACUUGUCUUUAAUGUUUGAUGAACUAGACUACCUGUUCCUGUAGAAUUUGAACUCUUUGUCUCAGCUGGGGUGGGCAAUACCAAUACAUACGUAUUGAGCCUUCUUGAAGAUGAUGGCUGCAUCUGUUUCACUCUUUCGGUUGGAUCAGAUUUCUUUUCAGGAAAAAGUGGGGCCGACUGGCUUCCUUUCCUAAUUUCUCCUCUGAAAGGAAAAAUUUUCCGGUAGCUGCUAUCAAGAUUUUCCUUUGUGACUUCUGAUGUUGCAACUUGGGGAAAUGUAACAUCCACCAUAUCCAACUCCAUUGAGUUUCUCGCUGUAGAAACAACAUCUUGCUCCUCGUCGUUAUGUCCAUAGUCAAAACUCAAUUCUACAUCACCAUAGGAAUCAUCAUCUUCGUCGUCGUCAUCAUCAUCGUCGUCGUCGUCAUCAUCGUCUCCAUCAUCAUCUUCAAGGCCACUGAAGUGAUAAUCUAUGUGUUGUUGUUCAGUGACCAACUUCACAUGUGGCUCAAGUUCUUCAAGAGAUUUAAGAGCCCUCUUGAAGAAACACAACUGAGCAGCAUGGUGUCGUGCUGCCUGAGUAAGAAGACUCCGAGAUUGUCCUUGCUUUAGGGAUUUCAGACGGAAAACAAAUAAGGUUGCCUCUUCAUCAUAUUCAUCAUAAGCCGUUUGUAACUGCUGCAUAGAAAAAGACUCUGCCUUCCCACUUCUUCCCCUUCCUUUUUCUCUUUGCCUCCUUAUCAUGUAUUCAUACACAUCUCUUUUCUCGUCACAUUGCCGCUUCAUCUCCUCAACAGUUCGAAGUUCAUUGAGAAGAGACUCUGAUGGGACUGUAAUUGUCUGGAAUAUGUGAGAACGAUAGCUAUCAACAAGUUUCUGGAGUUCAAACUGCACUUUUCCCAGCAUCAGCAAUACUUUACCACUUUCUUCAUCAUCAUUCAAUGCAGUUUUCUCGAGAAGACAAGCACCCAUCUCACGCAAUGAUUCUGAGAAUUCAAAAGCACUAUUAGCAGUGGCUG